AACGAACGCUGGCGGCAUGCCUAACACAUGCAAGUCGAACGAGACCUUCGGGUCUAGUGGCGCACGGGUGCGUAACGCGUGGGAACCUGCCCUUAGGUUCGGAAUAACUCCCCGAAAGGGGUGCUAAUACCGGAUAAUGUCUUCGGACCAAAGAUUUAUCGCCUUUGGAUGGGCCCGCGUUGGAUUAGCUAGUUGGUAGGGUAAAAGCGUACCAAGGCGACGAUCCAUAGCUGGUCUGAGAGGAUGAUCAGCCACACUGAGACUGAGACACGGCCCGGACUCCUACGGGAGGCAGCAGUGGGGAAUAGUGGACAGUGGGCGAAAGCCUGAACCAGCAAUGCCGGGUGAGUGAUGAAGGCAUUAAGGUUGUAAAGCGCUUUUACCCGGGAUGAUAAUGACAGUACCGGGAGAAUAAGCACCGGCUAACUCCGUG
RNAcentral lists this ribosomal RNA (433 nucleotides) under uncultured bacterium. Its description in RNAcentral is "partial 16S ribosomal RNA". It matches the Rfam family "Bacterial small subunit ribosomal RNA", at positions 29 to 507 of the family's 1533-position model. The record is from RNAcentral.